AAAAUAAGGAGAGAUGGUUCUUUUGUUAUCGAGAUUUAAGAUGACCAUCGGUUAACACUCUUUAAGGAUGUAUUUUGACCAUAUUUUCUAUUCAAGUGGCUUACAGAACUAUUCUGAAGCAAUUAUCCAAUUUUACAAGAUGAUUCAGAGGAGCUUAAAAAUACCCCAGUGCAAGCCAGUAUCUUUGUUGCUGCCUUACUAUUGUUAUAUGAGUUACAUGCUAAUGGAAAAAUAUACUUCCGGAUCUAGCUUUUGUUUUUGGGGGCUACUCUUGAACAUUUGCUAGGUUUAAACAACAUCACUUCCACCUAUGAUCAUCUACAUUGUUCAUCUGUCAGCAUAAAAUGUAAGAGCAGAUGAAAAGCAAGAAGCCAUGUACAGGCUGGGGCCACAUCUAUCCAUUAAUUCAAGUGCACUGUCAGUUAGGACCCAAACUUACUACUGACACCUUCUCUUGCUGUCUCCUCUGUUUGUUGAUUAUUCUGGAGAUGGCAUCAGAGUUGGGAGCCUCAGCAUGCAUACUUUGUCCAAGCCCAACCACGUGCCUGCGCUUCAUGCGUGACAGCUGAACAAGAGCUAAGUGAAAAAACUGUUGAGCAUGAAAAAUGUGGAGGAGU
Molecule: long non-coding RNA, 617 nt
Organism: Strigops habroptila (Kakapo)
Lineage: Eukaryota; Metazoa; Chordata; Aves; Psittaciformes; Psittacidae
Exons: 4
Source: RefSeq, a predicted model, not a curated record